Long non-coding RNA from Homo sapiens (human), 472 nucleotides. RefSeq lists it as uncharacterized. The transcript has 2 exons. NCBI's taxonomy places the organism in Eukaryota, Metazoa, Chordata, Mammalia, Primates, Hominidae. The record is from RefSeq and is a predicted model, not a curated record.
AGAAGUAAAUUGUUAUAACAAAGAACACCAGCGAAGUCUUGUCAACAUCACUUUCUGAUGGCAAAGCCCGGUAAAGUUGAAUACAUGAAACUACAUUUCCCAAGAUCCUUUGCCAACUGGCUCGCCAUGAGAUUCAGCCAACGGUAGGUACUAACGGAUGAUUUGAAGUCUGGAGAAGGGCCAUCUUAUGGGAGCAUGUUUCCUUCCCUCUCUGCCUCAGCUUGUGUCAUCUGGAGAAGAGCUCGUCUGUCCUCUAGUAUGUCCCAGGGCUUGCUCCAAUCACGUUGAAGUCCAGCUUCCACUAGCUGGCCCUUGCUCCCAGUUUCCAACAACACUGUCUGCUCUUCUGCUUCCUCCAUUUUGGGGUGCAGUAGUUUCCUGUUUGGGUCAUUGCUAAGACCCUAUUUGCUUUCUCUGGUUUUCCAUCACCAUAUGACCAAUUUUCUGCAUUAAAUUUAUUCUGUUCCAAGUA